This 328-nucleotide unclassified non-coding RNA is filed under the name uncultured fungus. Its description in RNAcentral is "partial contains 5.8S rRNA and ITS2". Lineage: Eukaryota; Fungi. The record is from RNAcentral.
AACGCAUCUUGCGCCGCUCGGUUUUUCGAGGGGCACGUCUGUUUGAGUGUCACGUUAAUCUAUCACUUGCCUUUUGGUGAAGUGGACUUGGACUGUGCUGUUAUUUUAAAUAAUUGACGGCUCGUCUCGAAAUGCAUUGUUGCCUGCAGAGUCUUGCGCGGAGUGAGACUGACAAAACGGUGUGAUAUUUAUAUCUGCGCUGAAGUAGUCGGUUUUGAGCUGCUGCACUAAGGAGCGCUCUGGGCUUAUAAAAUCGAGGAUUUUAAUUAAUCCCCAAUUUUCUUUUGCGUUUGACCUCAAAUCAGAUGGGACUACCCGCUGAACUUAA